Molecule: ribosomal RNA, 469 nt
Filed under: uncultured bacterium
Lineage: Bacteria
Description: partial 16S ribosomal RNA
Rfam family: Bacterial small subunit ribosomal RNA
Source: RNAcentral
GACGAACGCUGGCGGUGUGCUUAACACAUGCAAGUCGAACGGAAAGGCCCUGCUUGCAGGGUGCUCGAGAGGCGAACGGGCGAGUAACACGUGGGUGAUCUGCCCCUUACCUUGGGAUAAGCCUGGGAAACUGGGUCUAAUACUGGAUAGGACCAUGCAGUCGGUGGUGUGGUGGAAAGAUUGGUUUCGGUAAGGGAUGAGCUCGCGGCCUAUCAGCUUGUUGGUGGGGUAGUGGCCUACCCAGGCGUCGACGGGUAGCCGGCCUGAGAGGGUGGACGGCCACAUUGGGACUGAGAUACGGCCCAGACGCCUACGGGAGGCAGCAGUGGGGAAUAUUGCACAAUGAGCGAAAGCCGGAUGCAGCGACGCCGCGUGGGGGAUGACGGCCUUCGGGUUGUAAACUCCUUUCAGCCAUGACGAAGCCCUUGUGGUGACGGUAGUGGAAGAAGAAGCACCGGCUAACUACGUG